UUGAAAAGACUCUGAAACAAUAAU
This 24-nucleotide small RNA is filed under the name Arabidopsis thaliana (thale cress). Its description in RNAcentral is "ATSL010010". Lineage: Eukaryota; Viridiplantae; Streptophyta; Magnoliopsida; Brassicales; Brassicaceae. The record is from RNAcentral.